Molecule: ribosomal RNA, 513 nt
Filed under: uncultured bacterium
Lineage: Bacteria
Description: bacterial SSU rRNA
Rfam family: Bacterial small subunit ribosomal RNA
Source: RNAcentral
AUUCUGGCUCAGGAUGAACGCUAGCUACAGGCUUAACACAUGCAAGUCGAGGGGCAGCAGGAAUCUAGCUUGCUAGAUUGCUGGCGACCGGCGCACGGGUGAGUAACGCGUAUCCAACCUUCCCCAUAGUAGAGGAUAGCCCGGCGAAAGUCGGAUUAAUACUCUAUGUUGUAUUUUGAGGACAUCUGACGAAUACCAAAGAUUGAUCGCUAUGGGAUGGGGAUGCGUCUGAUUAGGUUGUGGCGGGUAACGGCCCACCAAGCCGACGAUCAGUAGGGGUUCUGAGAGGAAGGUCCCCCACAUUGGUACUGAGACACGGACCAAACUCCUACGGGAGGCAGCAGUGAGGAAUAUUGGUCAAUGGGCGAGAGCCUGAACCAGCCAAGUAGCGUGCAAGGAUGACUGCCCUAUGGGUUAGUAAACUGUCUUUUAUAGGGGAAUAAAGUCCACUACGUGUAGUGGUUUGUAUGUACCCUAUGAAUAAGGACCGGCUAAUUCCGUGCCAGCAGCAGC